RNAcentral lists this long non-coding RNA (449 nucleotides) under Mustela putorius furo (domestic ferret). Its description in RNAcentral is "lncRNA (ENSMPUG00000024781.1)". The record is from RNAcentral. Lineage: Eukaryota; Metazoa; Chordata; Mammalia; Carnivora; Mustelidae.
GGAGGGGGCCGUUCAGUGGGGAGCAAGGCAACUCUCAAGGGAAUGAGGGCUGUCACAGUAGCCUUUGGUGAGCAAUGACUAAUCUAUUGCCGACUCUCUUCUGACAAGGAAGCUGGAUCGAGUCCAAAUAUAGUUCAUUUCCUCAAGUGUACACAGGGGCCAGGCCACAGAAGAGAAUGGAAUAUGGAACUUCCUCUCAGUUCAGGAGCAUUUGGUGUUUUUGAGGGCGGCCAGGGAAGGCAAGAGGCUGAAAAUGGAGAACAGGCCUUUCUGGCUGUAAUACCCAGAUCUCAGCAGUCAUCUUGCAGCUAUGGGGGAAGAAAACCUGAGGGCAAAGCCAACAUCCUGAAGAUGGCAGAGUGGUAAGGUGGAAAAAACUGGGGUCUUUGAUGGCGCUGUCAAGAUUCUUUAACAACUAGCCCCAGAACCUGCCUACCUCUAGACUUCCU